ACACAAAAUAAUAUUUUUACCCCUUAAUAAACAUACAAUUUUUAACACUAAUCAAACAUGUAUGAAUACAUCUCAUUUUUCUUAUGAAGUGGAAGAAACCCAGGCCUACAGUCCAAAAAAUACAAGAACAAAAAAACACGAGCAACUGAUAUAUAUGCAUGCAUUCUUCUUGAACUUGAUGGGCUUAGUGCUGAGAUUGUCUAUGACUAAAGGGCGGGAGAUUUUCUUCUUGUGUGUUGUCUUCACCAGCUUUCCCGCAACUUCUCAUCUUGAUCGAAUUCCAAACUUCAGCAUCAAUGGAACCUCACCUCUAGUUGGAGAAGCUUGGGUGAAAGGCAAAACCCUUCUUCAAAACAAAAAAAAAAAAUUGUGAAACAUUUAUCAAGGGUUUAUAAAUGAAUUUAAUAGGUUUAAUGAGUAAAAUAACUACUAUUAUAAAAAUUGGGUUUAAUAAGGGUACAUUAGGUACUUAACUAGGUUUAUUGAGUAAAAUUUAAAAUUUAAAAAUGUGAAGGUGGGCUUAUUUAGUAAAUGAGUUUAGUGAGUAGGUUGGUGAGUUCAAAUAGCCUCACCCUUUCUUAAGUGAUAAAGGUCUGUUUUAGUCAAUGACAGACAUUUUUGUUACUUUGGUGAAAGGUCAAUAUUCUGACUUGAUUUUCACUUAUGCUUAUUUUUGUGAAAUUUUGUAUGCAAUGCCAUGCAUGUUCAUAGUACCUCUGUAAAUUUUCAUGGUUUUCUGACAUGUGUAUAGGUUAUUAAAAACUAGCAUGUGCAAGAUACUCAUGUUUAUGUCUAGAAUAUGUUUAAGUAUUGAGCUAGUAUAAGUGCCUAUGAUUUAAGGAUGAUUGGGAUUAUGUUUAAGGUUAGAGAUACUAUUGAUAAUGAUAUUUUUAUGAUUAUUAUAGAAUGUGGGUGAGCUCGUUGGUUUGUUCUUGAGGUAUUGAGUUGAUUGCUGCAGAUUGAGAUAAGUAGAUUCAUACAUGGUACAUGUACUCUAUUAUUCAUUUACUUUUGAUUCAAUGUAUGUAUUAUGUUGAAAAAAUAGUAUAUGAAAUUGAUUUGUUUAGUUUAUUACAAUAUUUUGUUAAGUAAAAUCAUUUUUUUAAAAUUAUUUAUAAAAAAACUUGUUUUAUAAAUUGUCUUAAAAAUGAAAGCUUUUGUUAAAUUGUUUUAAGUCAAAUAUUGUGCAUGGAUUUACUUACCGAGUUGACGGCUCACCCCUCGUCUCUAGUAUUUUGUAGAUUGAUUAGAGAUGUGACUUGGGUAUUUAGAUGGAGAUUUUUUUUUAGUGAAUCUUUGGAGUUGCUUUAAAGAUUAAAUUUGGCUAGGUUUUUUAUUUUAGAUUAAAGACUUUUCUUUAGAGACUUUAUUUCAAAUGUUUUACGUAAAGAUUCAGUUGGAGUAUGAAUAAUGAUUGUCUAUCUUGAGGUUUAUUAAUAAGAAUAAACGAUGUGAGAUUUCAUUCCAAUUUUACUCUUGUGCUUUCAUGGGUAAAGUUUUUAGAUGUUACAGACAUCUAAAUAAAAAAUGAAUAAAAUAUGGAUAUUUUUAUUUGAGAAGAAAUGUGGGCGAGGCUAUUUCAUUCUAUUAAAUUGUAUUUUUAUACCCAUUUUUGGUUUAAAUGUUCUCUUAUUAAUUUGCUAAAGUAUUUUUUUUUAUGGAAUUAACUAAUUAAUUGAACACUGUUUUCUCUUUCUCUUGCUAUUGCUCAGUUUCGUACACACCGUUUCACAUAUGUUCUUAUUUCAAUGUUCAAUUGCAAGUGAAUGUUAAUGUUUGUCCAUCAAAAAUUGAUAGAUUUAGGUUUUCUAUAGGCCAUCAUCAAUUACAAACAAAACAAAACUCACUCUCAAAAAAUAAAUUUCAAGCAAAAUUGACAGGCCAUGAAAAUUGAAAGCCACUACGUUUUCUUUUUACGUAAACUCUUUGAAAAGAAAAGUCAUGAUUCAAAUGACAUCGACAUUCUUUGACCUUAUUGAAAAAAGAACAUUGAUUGUGAUGACAUGAAUUGUAAGCCUUACCUAAAAGAUACUGAUGGACCCGGAGAUAUGCAUAAGGCUGCGCUCGAUGAGAGUUUUAUGUUAAUAAUUCAAGAAAUGCAGUAAUGAUUUAUUGAAAAUUCAAUUAUAAUUUAAUAAGAAAGAUUAAGAAUCAACGUCCAUCACAGACUGUGGGUGAGAAUUUAGUUUGCAUGAUGUUAAGAUAGAGAGAGAAUAUGCAUCCGUAAAAGAAAGGUGAAAAAAUAAAGAAUAAUUUUGACGGUUUAAAAUUUUAAAAUAAAUAUUUUUUUGUAUCAAGUGUAGAAAGAGAUUCAGUGGGCUCAAGUAGCCCCAUCUAAGAAAUAUUUAUGUAGGAAGAUGUUUCAAUAAAAGAUUCUAAAUUUAUUAAAUUUCGAAAGAAUUCUUAAACCAUAUGAAGUCCAUAAUCCUAGACCAGAUUAGUACUCAUACAUAUACAUACAUAUAUGUAUGUAUGUAUGUAUGUAUGUAUAGUUAUAGUUUUUCUCUAGUGUGUAUAUCU
This 2520-nucleotide long non-coding RNA is filed under the name Citrus x clementina. RNAcentral describes it as "Citrus clementina (C. clementina) long non-coding RNA (CCLE_LNC000470)". The record is from RNAcentral. Lineage: Eukaryota; Viridiplantae; Streptophyta; Magnoliopsida; Sapindales; Rutaceae.